This 253-nucleotide ribosomal RNA is filed under the name uncultured bacterium. RNAcentral's name for it is "partial 16S ribosomal RNA". It matches the Rfam family "Bacterial small subunit ribosomal RNA", at positions 524 to 776 of the family's 1533-position model. The record is from RNAcentral.
UACAGAGGUCUCAAGCGUUGUUCGGAUUCAUUGGGCGUAAAGGGUGCGUAGGUGGCUCGGUAAGUCAGUUGUGAAAUCUCGGGGCUCAACCCCGAAACUGCACUUGAUACUGCCUUGCUCGAGUACUGGAGAGGAGAUUGGAAUUUACGGUGUAGCAGUGAAAUGCGUAGAUAUCGUAAGGAAGACCAGUGGCGAAGGCGAAUCUCUGGACAGUUACUGACACUGAGGCACGAAGGCCAGGGGAGCAAACGGG